RNAcentral lists this ribosomal RNA (465 nucleotides) under uncultured bacterium. Its description in RNAcentral is "partial 16S ribosomal RNA". It matches the Rfam family "Bacterial small subunit ribosomal RNA", at positions 28 to 507 of the family's 1533-position model. The record is from RNAcentral.
GACGAACGCUGGCGGCGUGCUUAACACAUGCAAGUCGAACGGAAAGGCCCUGCUUGCAGGGUACUCGAGUGGCGAACGGGUGAGUAACACGUGAGUGAUCUGCCCUGCACUUCGGGAUAAGCCUGGGAAACUGGGUCUAAUACCGGAUAGGAGCCAUUUUUAGUGUGAUGGUUGGAAAGUUUUUUCGGUGUAGGAUGAGCUCGCGGCCUAUCAGCUUGUUGGUGGGGUAAUGGCCUACCAAGGCGGCGACGGGUAGCCGGCCUGAGAGGGUGGACGGCCACAUUGGGACUGAGAGACGGCCCAGACUCCUACGGGAGGCAGCAGUGGGGAAUAUUGCACAAUGGGCGCAAGCCUGAUGCAGCGACGCCGCGUGGGGGAUGACGGCCUGCGGGUUGUAAACUCCUUUCGCUAGGGACGAAGCUUUUUGUGACGGUACCUAGAGAAGAAGCACCGGCUAACUACGUG